This 266-nucleotide long non-coding RNA is filed under the name Mytilus galloprovincialis (Mediterranean mussel). The record is from RNAcentral. Lineage: Eukaryota; Metazoa; Mollusca; Bivalvia; Mytilida; Mytilidae.
CGUGUUCUUUUUGAUAGUGGCCAUGUGGCUGGUAGCUGGCCAUGGAUUGCUGUUUUUUUAUUGUGUGUUUUACUUUUAUGACAAAUAAUCUGGAUAUAUAUAUAUGUAAAAGGGGAGGUUUGUAUUUGGUACAAACAAAAAAAUUAAAGGUACCCAUGAUUUUGAUCUUACACCAAAUACUGUAGUCUAUGUGGACCAUGCCUUGUUGGUUGUUUCCUUUGUUUGUACAACUUUUGUCAGAGAAAUUGUUUGUUAUUUAAUUUCUG